CAGCCGUAAACUAUGCUCGCUAGGUGUCAGGGACGGUGCGACCGUUUCUGGUGCCGCAGGGAAGCCGUGAAGCGAGCCACCUGGGAAGUACGGUCGCAAGGCUGAAACUUAAAGGAAUUGGCGGGGGGAGCACUACAACGGGUGGAGCCUGCGGUUUAAUUGGACUCAACGCCGGAAAACUCACCGGGGGCGACUGUUACAUGAAACCCAGACUAAUGAUCUUGGUUGAUUUUCAGAGAGGAGGUGCAUGGCGUCAGUGACU
Molecule: ribosomal RNA, 262 nt
Filed under: uncultured archaeon
Lineage: Archaea
Description: partial 16S ribosomal RNA
Rfam family: Archaeal small subunit ribosomal RNA
Source: RNAcentral